Chloebia gouldiae (Gouldian finch) is the source of this 1813-nucleotide long non-coding RNA. The record is from Ensembl. Lineage: Eukaryota; Metazoa; Chordata; Aves; Passeriformes; Passeridae.
UGGCAAUGCAGGCUCCUGAGUUGUGUACCUCAUCGUGAAGACGGCAUUAAGAAGCAUCUAAAAGGUGAUUUCCUUCUGCUGUUCACACAGGUCAGAAUGUUUUUGUUCUUGACUAACAGCUCACUGGUAUUCUCAAUCUCCUGUUGCCAUCAGUUUUCAUUUCGAGAAAUCCUAAACAGAGAAGAAAAUCUAGCAUUUCUGCAGAGAACCAUCUUGUCUGCCAUGCUGUGAAUUACUUCCCUGGGUGUUUUUCUGUGGGGAAAGAAGGAACCUCAUAGAGAAUGGAGACACAACCUUCUGUCUAUGACCAAUUGCUAUUGGUUUUUUUUUGGGUUGUCUCUGUCUCUUGAAAUUACACAAAUGUCCUUUAGUCUGACUUUUUAUUGCUCCAAGGGGAAGUGAACGUUCAGUAGUAGUACUGCCACAAUAUGGAUAGCUCCACCAACUCCUCUUUCCAGUCAGGAUGUUACAGAAUCAGUUCUUGUAGCAUUUUAACGGAAACUUCCAGUAGCCUUGAGCUUUACAAUUAUCCUUCUCAAGAGAUAUUAUGUAUUUGAAAACAUUAUGAGAAAGCAAAUAUCUCUGACCUAGUAUCAGAAAAGAACCUUAAAACUUCCUACAGAAGCAAGCAGGGCUCAGAUCACUUGCGUGAAUUGUAGCCAAGCCUUGAGACUGAUGGGAUUUUUGAGUUUGCCUGGGCAAAUAAAAUGUCCUUUGUGAAAAGACUUGGCAUGGUGCAUAAUGCCAUUCAAAUUUUAUCCUUUAUUUUUCCAGUUUGCAUUGGUAAAGUGACCUGAGGACUGAGAGUGUUUUGAAAGCUCACUUCCUCUGUGUCUGUGAACAGUGAUGGUCUCUGUUUUCCCUCAGCAGACAUAGCCUUGGCUGACCUGCUCAAAGGAUUAUGAGCAAAAGUGGGCAAUGUGGUGAAGUGCCCGACUCCUUGGCCAUGUCAAGCUGCAGUUUGGAUGUAACUCCUCACCUCUUCUGACCUUGCUUGGUAGCGUGUGCUCUUGCCCAGGUGGGACAUUGCUUCAAAUUCGCAGGGAGAAGCAAGCUGAUAGUCAUGGCCCACCUGGGUUUUUUUCUUUAGGAAAUGCUACUGGAAAGCAGUCAUCUUCAGAUAAACCCAAUGAACUGAAAGAAUACAUUCUGAUUUUGUACAGGUCCUGGCGUUUGGAUGGGAAAAAAAGUAAAUAAGUACUUCAGCUCCAUUAAAUCCUUAUAGAAGGGACUGUAAAGGGAAUCAGCCUUUCUCUACACAAAAGCCCAGGAGGAGAGAGUGGGGUGGGCAGUGGUGAUGAGGGGAGAGAUGGCUGAAUUGCUGCAGCAGACACAGGAAUCUGCCUGUGUCUCUUGUCAUUCCAUCACCCCCAUUCUUUGGCAAACAUAUGUGACUGCAUGCAGGCUGCAUCCAUCUUCAAGGUAAAACCUGGAGCCCUUGCACAGGGACUUCAAGAGGCACGAGCUGUUCCUUACAGGUGGUGGGGCUGAAUUGCAGCUGAUGCUGGUGCUCAGGUGUUAGAAAGUUAGUGGAGCAGCAGUGCUGCCGCUUCUGCUCUGCCCCUGAGGUGCACUGUUUUGGAAUCACCAACUGAUUUUGUUUCAUCUAUAGGAUAACAUAUAAUCUAUUUAUUAUGUUUCCAAAAUAUUCUUAGGAAAGCCAAAGCCUUGAAAUUUAACAGAGCUUUCUGGCAUUACAAAAUAUACAGAGUUUGUGACAUUUUUCACUUUCUUUCACCAGUGUUGUUGAAAAUGAGCAUGGAUCUUGUUGUUAGUAAAUAAAAGCUUAAUGGAGUCAAAGUUUCUUCUGUAA